This 289-nucleotide ribosomal RNA is filed under the name uncultured bacterium. Its description in RNAcentral is "partial 16S ribosomal RNA". It matches the Rfam family "Bacterial small subunit ribosomal RNA", at positions 773 to 1060 of the family's 1533-position model. The record is from RNAcentral.
GUGGAUUAGAUACCCUGGUAGUCCACACCGUAAACGAUGAUUACUAGGUGUAGGGCGGCUGAAACCGUUCUGUGCCGGAGUUAACACAAUAAGUAAUCCACCUGGGGAGUACGACCGCAAGGUUGAAACUCAAAGGAAUUGACGGGGGCCCGCACAAGCAGUGGAGUAUGUGGUUUAAUUCGACGCAACGCGAAAAACCUUACCAGGUCUUGACAUCGAUUGACGAGCGUAGAGAUACGCUUUUCCCUUCGGGGACAAGAAGACAGGUGGUGCAUGGUUGUCGUCAGCU